UACAGAGGGGGCAAGCGUUGUUCGGAUUUACUGGGCGUAAAGGGCGCGUAGGCGGCUUAACAAGUCACUUGUGAAAUCUCCGGGCUUAACUCGGAACGGCCAAGUGAAACUGUCAAGCUAGAGUGCAGAAGGGGCAAUCGGAAUUCUUGGUGUAGCGGUGAAAUGCGUAGAUAUCAAGAGGAACACCUGAGGUGAAGACGGGUUGCUGGGCUGACACUGACGCUGAGGCGCGAAAGCCAGGGGAGCGAACGGG
RNAcentral lists this ribosomal RNA (253 nucleotides) under uncultured bacterium. RNAcentral describes it as "partial 16S ribosomal RNA". It matches the Rfam family "Bacterial small subunit ribosomal RNA", at positions 524 to 776 of the family's 1533-position model. The record is from RNAcentral.